GAUGAAGAACGUAGCGAAAUGCGAUAAGUAAUGUGAAUUGCAGAAUUCAGUGAAUCAUCGAAUCUUUGAACGCACAUUGCGCCCGGCAGUACUCUGCCGGGCAUGCCUGUUCGAGCGUCAUUUCAACCCUCAAGCCCUGCUUGGUGUUGGGGCCCCACGGCUGCCGUGGGCCCUGAAAGGAAGUGGCGGGCUCGCUGUCACACCGAGCGUAGUAGCAUACAUCUCGCUCUGGGCGUGCUGCGGGUUCCGGCCGUUAAACCACCUUCAUAACCCAAGGUUGACCUCGGAUCAGGUAGGAAGACCCGCUGAACUUAAGCAUAUCAAUAAGCGGAGGA
RNAcentral lists this unclassified non-coding RNA (335 nucleotides) under soil metagenome. Its description in RNAcentral is "partial contains 5.8S ribosomal RNA, internal transcribed spacer 2, and large subunit ribosomal RNA". The stretch from base 1 to 120 matches the Rfam family "5.8S ribosomal RNA", at positions 35 to 154 of the family's 154-position model. The record is from RNAcentral.